CCUACGGGUGGCAGCAGUGAGGAAUAUUGGUCAAUGGACGAGAGUCUGAACCAGCCAAGCAGCGUGAAGGAUGACUGCUCUAUGUGUUGUAAACUUCUUUUAUAAAGGAAUAAAACGAGGUACGUGUGCCUUUUUGCACGUAUUUCUUGAAUAAGGCUCGGCUAACGCUGCGCCAGCAGCCGCGGUAAUACGGAGGAUCCGAGCGUUAUCCGGAUUUAUUGGGUUUAAAGGGUGCGUAGAUGGGUAUGUAAGUCAGUAGUGAAAGUUUGCGGCUCAACCGUGAAAUUGCAAUUGAUACUGGCAGGCUGGAGUACAGUUGAGGUAGGCGGAAUUCGUGGUGUAGCGGUGAAAUGCUUAGAUAUCACGAAGAACCCCGAUUGCGAAGGCAGCUUACUAAACUGUGACUGACAUUGAGGCUCGAAAGUGUGGGGAUCAAACAGGAUUAGAUACCCGUGUAGUC
This 460-nucleotide ribosomal RNA is filed under the name uncultured bacterium. RNAcentral describes it as "partial 16S ribosomal RNA". It matches the Rfam family "Bacterial small subunit ribosomal RNA", at positions 338 to 795 of the family's 1533-position model. The record is from RNAcentral.